Molecule: long non-coding RNA, 229 nt
Filed under: Capsicum annuum
Lineage: Eukaryota; Viridiplantae; Streptophyta; Magnoliopsida; Solanales; Solanaceae
Description: long non-coding RNA (CANN_LNC005082)
Source: RNAcentral
UUUACCAAUGAAAGAGGCUAAUGCCAAAGAUACCCAGACUGAUUUAUUGCUCCAAAUGUUUAAACAAAUGGAGUUAUUACAAGAAUGAGUUAUUACACUAACUACUGAAGUUACAAAUGUAAAAGUGCAAGUCGAGCACUAUAAAAAAUAAGAUACUGUGCAGGAAGAGCACAUUAAAAAACUAGACCUAGAAGGUGAAGAUGAAAAAUACCUUAAAACUCAAAUUACU